Molecule: ribosomal RNA, 433 nt
Filed under: uncultured bacterium
Lineage: Bacteria
Description: partial 16S ribosomal RNA
Rfam family: Bacterial small subunit ribosomal RNA
Source: RNAcentral
AACGAACGCUGGCGGCAUGCCUAACACAUGCAAGUCGAACGAGACCUUCGGGUCUAGUGUCGCACGGGUGCGUAACGCGUGGGAACCUGCCCUUAGGUUCGGAAUAACUCCCCGAAAGGGGUGCUAAUACCGGAUAAUGUCUUCGGACCAAAGAUUUAUCGCCUUUGGAUGGGCCCGCGUUGGAUUAGCUAGUUGGUAGGGUAAAAGCCUACCAAGGCGACGAUCCAUAGCUGGUCUGAGAGGAUGAUCAGCCACACUGGGACUGAGACACGGCCCAGACUCCUACGGGAAGCAGCAGUGGGGAAUAUUGGACAAUGGGCGAAAGCCUGAUCCAGCAAUGCCGCGUGAGUGAUGAAGGCCUUAGGGUUGUAAAGCUCUUUUACCCGGGAUGAUAAUGACAGUACCGGGAGAAUAAGCUCCGGCUAACUCCGUG